UACGGAGGGGGCUAGCGUUGUUCGGAAUUACUGGGCGUAAAGAGCGCGUAGGCGGUUUGUAAAGUUGGGAGUGAAAUCCCGGGGCUUAACCCCGGAACUGCUUCCAAAACUUAUAGACUAGAGAGCGGUAGAGGAUGGUGGAAUUCCUAGUGUAGAGGUGGAAUUCUUAGAUAUUAGGAGGAACAUCGGUUGCGAAGGCGGCCAUCUGGGCCGAAUCUGACGCUGAGGCGCGAAAGCGUGGGGAGCAAACAGG
Molecule: ribosomal RNA, 253 nt
Filed under: uncultured bacterium
Lineage: Bacteria
Description: partial 16S ribosomal RNA
Rfam family: Bacterial small subunit ribosomal RNA
Source: RNAcentral